UUAAGGUGAUGAUAUUGUAGUGGUGUUUAUGGUGUUGUUGAAGAGUUAAGAGAAAAGAGUUAUGGGGUUUGGUUGGUGUUUUGUAUAUGUUGAGUUUUCUGAUGAAGAGAAAUGAAGAGGAUGUGUUGUUAGGAGAGGAAAGAAGAGAAAAAUUUUACGUUGGUUUGUCUAGUUCUAGAGAAAAAGAGUUGUGGUUGUUAUGUUGUUGUGUUGUUGAAGUGUUGAGAGAAAAGAAGAGAUUGAAGUUGGUGUUGGUUGGUG
Molecule: long non-coding RNA, 261 nt
Filed under: Lathyrus oleraceus (garden pea)
Lineage: Eukaryota; Viridiplantae; Streptophyta; Magnoliopsida; Fabales; Fabaceae
Description: Pisum sativum (pea) long non-coding RNA (PSAT_LNC018589)
Source: RNAcentral